RNAcentral lists this long non-coding RNA (1685 nucleotides) under Equus asinus (donkey). RNAcentral's name for it is "lncRNA (ENSEASG00005031506.1)". The record is from RNAcentral. Lineage: Eukaryota; Metazoa; Chordata; Mammalia; Perissodactyla; Equidae.
ACCUAGUCUUUUUUAGCACAGGAGCAGAGGGGCUGGAGACCUAGAAAUAUGGUUCUUUCACAUUUAUCCCCUUCCCUACGCACACAGGUAAUGCUAGCAUUUUUGAUGUGAUGGGUCAACCACUACUAGGGUUUGCUGCUGAGUCUAGCCUACCCUGACAGAUCAUUUCUUUGCAUAAAGAAAUAUUUCUCUCAAGAGGCUGAUAGCAUCCCCAACGAUUCUUUGACAGCUGAGAAGUCUUUGCCUGCACAGAGCACAGAGAAAGAAAAAAAAUUACCUCUGGGAUAGGGGCUAAAGAGAGAGAGUUUGUCAAACUGCACACAAAUAGCAUUGAUGAAUCUUAGCAGACUCAAUCAGAACACCCUGUUACAAAUUGAAGGAUAGAAGAAAUAUUCAGAAAGGAAUUACCAUAUGUGAAUAUGCUGGGUUUGGUUCGACUUUGUAAACUGUAUUGCAUUUUAUUUGAUGAGAUGGUAAAUUUUCAAUAGAAACAGAAAAUAUAAAAAUAUUAAGAUGCAAAAAAAGAAUUCACUGUGUCUCCAGUUUUUCUCUUCAUAAUGGCACAAAGUGGAAGCAAUGGACUCAAAAUAACCCAGGAGGCCUGGAACACAUGGGGAAUAUAAAAUAUUGAUUUGGAAGGCUGGAAGGGCUGCCUUAAGAGCAGGUAUCAGAUAAUCAUGGAAAAGAUGAAGCAAGAAGACAAUCCACCAGACAUUUGGACUGCUGAAGCUGACGAGGACAAAAAGAGAAACGAGGGUGAGGAAGAGAGAGAGAGAGGCAAGAAGAUUUUGGAGCAGACAAAUGACAAAAUAUAAGGCGUUCUUCAGUAAAAUUCACAUGGCAACAGCCUGUAGAUGGACAGGAGUGGGAAGACAUGAACUGAGGAAGCAAGUGAGAAGACGUGGUCUAAGUGAGGAGGUGAAUGGAUGUACGAGUGGAGAGGUGUGGAAACUUUGUUACAUGACAUUGUGGUGUUGGGGACCUAUGGGAUCUUUAUGCUAUCUUUUCAUCCUCUGGUCCUUGGGUGAUAUGCCUGAUCUGUCUGAUCUCAUGCCUGUGGGCCUCCAGUGCAGAAGCCUGGAAACUUUUAAAUUUGAGUUUAGUUCUCUUGGCUCAAGUGAUGCUCCUGCUGAUUGUUCCUGGCUACCCAGAACCCACUUAAGCUUCUACUUUGAACCCACCGGAGGUCUGCUUUGGACUCCCAUUCAGCCCCAGCUCAGGCUGUUCACUCAGCUAUGGAGCCAUCUUGCCACUGCUGCACCAAACCCCUCUGGAAAGCUGCUAAAUUAGACUCAUAUCUACACCUCACGGUAAACAAGUAUAGGUGGGGAAAGCUAAACAUCAGGACCUGAGUGACUGGUCAUGCUAGAGACCAUCAAACUUACUUGAAUAUGACUGCAAUCUGUGUCAGUGUGGACAGUUGAUGUGGGAAACAAGAGUCCUCUUCUAUCCCUAUAAUAUCCUCACUUACUAAUGUAUGUGUCACUCUCCAGGCCAAGUCCAAAUAAGUGAAAAUCUGGGCAGACAUCUAAAUAUCUCUGCUCCUGGCCCUUCUCUCUCUUAUUCUUCUUAUAAUAUUGCAGGGCCAGAAAGACAACUUUUCAUUUACAUCUCUUAUAUCCUAGCUGCCUUCUCCCAGGCUCCAUCUAAGCCCCAUGAUGGACAAAGGCUGAGGCCUCCAGCUC